UUCCGGUUGAUCCCGCCGGACCCCACUGCUAUCGGGAUAGGACUAAGACAUGCUAGUCGAGCGCCUCAGCCAAAAUGAGGCGCGGCAUACAGCUCAGUAACACGUGGCUAAUCUGCCCUUAGGAUAGGAAUAUCCCCGGGAAACUGGGGCUAAUUCCCAAUAGGCGAAGAACUCUGGAAUGAGUCUUCACCCGAAAAGAGCUUACGUUAUGCUCGUGAGUUUCGCCUAAGGAUGAGGCCGCGACCGAUCAGGUUGUUGGUGAGGUAAUGGCUCACCAAGCCUUUUACCGGUGCGGGCCGUGAGAGCGGGAGCCCGGAGAUGGGCACUGAGACAAGGGCCCAGGCCCUACGGGGCGCAGCAGUCGCGAAAACUUUGCAAUACACGAAAGUGUGACAGGGCUAUCCCGAGUGCCAUCCGCUGAGGAAGGCUUUUACCCAGUCUAGAACGCUGGGGGAAUAAGGAGAGGGCAAGUCUGGUGUCAGCCGCCGCGGUAA
RNAcentral lists this ribosomal RNA (494 nucleotides) under uncultured archaeon. RNAcentral's name for it is "bacterial SSU rRNA". It matches the Rfam family "Archaeal small subunit ribosomal RNA", at positions 1 to 473 of the family's 1478-position model. The record is from RNAcentral.